Molecule: ribosomal RNA, 254 nt
Filed under: uncultured bacterium
Lineage: Bacteria
Description: partial 16S ribosomal RNA
Rfam family: Bacterial small subunit ribosomal RNA
Source: RNAcentral
UACGUAGGGGGCAAGCGUUGUCCGGAUUUAUUGGGCGUAAAGAGCGUGUAGGCGGCUAGAUAGGUCCGUUGUGAAAACUCGAGGCUCAACCUCGAGACGUCGGCGGAAACCCUCUGGCUAGAGUCCGGAAGAGGAGAGUGGGAAUUCCUGGUGUAGCGGUGAAAUGCGCAGAUAUCAGGAGGAACACCGGUGGCGAAGGCGGGUCUCUGGGCCGAUACUGACGCUGAGGAGCGAAAGCGUGGGGAGCGAACAGG